Non-coding RNA from Salmo salar (Atlantic salmon), 893 nucleotides. NCBI's taxonomy places the organism in Eukaryota, Metazoa, Chordata, Actinopteri, Salmoniformes, Salmonidae. The record is from RefSeq and is a predicted model, not a curated record.
CACACACACACACACACACACACAAUAAGCACACUGUGGUAAGACUGUUUUGGGUUGCAUUUUGUCUGCAUUUAGCCAAUCUGUAACAAUCAGAAGAAUAAAAUACACAUCCAAACAUCUUGACCUUUCAACAAACAGCAAGAUGGAAAUGAACCUUGUGAAGGAAACAGCAACAUAAAGUGUUUUAAUAGGAGGUAACUGGCAGAAUAAAGGAAACUCCAACAGUGUUUUAAUAGGAGGUCGGGUCGUCCACCAGGUAACUGGCAGAAUAAAGGAAACACCAACAGUGUUUUAAUAGGAGGUCGGGUCGUCCACCAGGUAACUGGCAGAAUAAAGGAAACUCCAACAGUGUUUUAAUAGGAGGUCGGGUCGUCCACCAGGUAACUGGCAGAAUAAAGGAAACUCCAACAGUGUUUUAAUAGGAGGUCGGGUCGUCCACCAGGUAACUGGCAGAAUAAAGGAAACUCCAACAGUGUUUUAAUAGGAGGUCGGGUCGUCCACCAGGUAACUGGCAGAAUAAAGGAAACUCCAACAGUGUUUUAAUAGGACGUCGGGUCGUCCACCAGGUAACUGGCAGAAUAAAGGAAACUCCAGGUCCUCCACCAACCACCAGGUAACUGGCAGAAUAAAGGAAACUCCAACAGUGUUUUAAUAGGACGUCGGGUCGUCCACCAGGUAACUGGCAGAAUAAAGGAAACUCCAGGUCCUCCACCAACCACCAGGUAACUGGCAGAAUAAAGGAAACUCCAACAGUGUUUUAAUAGGAGGUCGGGUCAUCCACCAGGUAACUGGCAGAAUAAAGGAAACACCAACAGUGUUUUAAUAGGAGGUCGGGUCAUCCACCAGGUAACUGGCAGAAUAAAGGAAACUCCAACAGUGUUUUAAUAGGAGGU